Molecule: long non-coding RNA, 4082 nt
Organism: Lycium barbarum (goji berry)
Lineage: Eukaryota; Viridiplantae; Streptophyta; Magnoliopsida; Solanales; Solanaceae
Exons: 5
Source: RefSeq, a predicted model, not a curated record
AAUUCCAGAAGAAUCAUCCAGUUAUUUCAUCUUUCGUUCCAACUAUGGAGAAACAUGGGUUGGACUUCAGAAUUCUUUUUUUUUUUUUCCCAAACUUUCAAGGACUGCUCUUCAACUUCAUCUUCUCAACUGGAAGUGCAAUUUUAGAGAUAAUAGAUCUGAAGAACAAGAAACUUGGGUGAAUCAAAGAUGUUGUGGCAAACAUAUGUUGAUGAUCACUUGCUUUGUGAGAUUGAAGGUAAUCAUCUCACUUCUGCUGCUAUUAUCGGUCAAGACGGCACGGUUUGGGCCCAAUCUGCUAAUUUCCCUCAGGGUGACACUUGGCUAAAAUAAGAAGCUUAAAUGACUUGGUUGACAAGUGACAACUAUAUGAAAAUGGCCAUUCACAGUGUAAGUUUCCAAUCUUUUUUUGUGUGAUGUUGAGCUUAAGUUGUCUCAUGCUCUGUAGUUGAGGUUUCUCAUCAUGCAUGGUCGCGAAGAUAUUCUGUUUUGCUAACUCCAUUUUAUGUUUUAUCCCGGUGUCGAGAAAGGGUUACCAGUUUAGUGUUUCUAGAAUUACCUUUAUCUUAUUGCUCUUUGGCAAUGGUAUUUCAUUUGCUUACAUGUGUAAUCCUACAGUACCAUUACUACUAUUUCAACUUUUUUGUCAACAAGAAGAAUUAGAUAUAACUUAUAGUUUUUCAGAAUGAGUAGAUAUUUUUCCAUGUGAUAUCUUUUCUCAAUUAGUAGUUAACCCGUUAUGGAGCAUUGGCUACAGAUUGUUAUUUAGAUGACUUUAUUUUAUUUUUUUACUCUCAAGUUGUUCGAGGGACGAGGGGAUAAAAUACAGUAAACAACCAUAUGAAUAGUGGAAUAAUAUGAAUGACAGCUAUCUCAUGUAACAAUUUCUUAAGAGCACGAUUCUGGUCGUGCUACAAUUACUAAUGUUAUUUGGUCAAGAAUUAUCAUUAGCAAAAAUAUUUCUUUCUAUUUCUUUGUCUAGACAAUCUAUUUGAACACUAAGGUAUAAAUGAUUAAUAUCAUCGAUUAUUUCUUCUUUUUAUUUGAUAUUUAGGUCAGUAGAAAUGUGUAUCUGUACAAUCCUUCUAAUGUGUUUCUCAAUCUAAUGAUGAUUAAAUACAUUACUUUGAUAUCUGAUCUCCAUGCUAGCCUCUCCAUUUUCAUUGUAUAAAUGAAAUUUAAUUUUUCUGUUUUAAUCCUUACAAGAACACAAUGUCAAUGUGUUUUUUUAUUUUAACUAUAUAGAAGCGUGGGUUAGGAGAAUGGAUCGACAUGGUGCCUUAUGUGUCAAUAAAAUUACAAUCAAGGGCAAUUUAGAGAUUCAAGGCAGGCUUAUUUAGGUUAGUUUACGUGUCAACAACCCUCCAGCUGUCACUUUCUUCUCACAGAACUCAUCUCUGUGCCGACUGCCUCUCCGAUGUUCAAAAACCCGAACACCACACUCCUUUUCACCUUACACACUCCCAUUCCACCUUCCCACAAAGGCGUUCGAGGUAUUCACAAAAUCUGGCAAAACGGAGAAGCCAGGUUUGUCUCAAAGGGUACCAAAGGAGAUUCCAACCAUUGAUAUUCCUCUCAGGGUAAGUUCACUGUUUUCCAUAUCCUUUAAACUUGGGUACAUCAUUCAUGUUCUUUGAUUGUUGUUUAUCUCGACUCUUUUAUGACAUUUUGAUCAAUGAAUUUUGUUAUGUUAGUUUGUUGGAGAGAUUGCACAAGCAAUGUGUUUUUUAUUUUAACUAUAUAGAAGCGUGGGUUAGGAGAAUGGAUCGACAUGGUACCCUAUGUGUCAAAAAAAUUACAAUCAAGGGCAAUUUAGAGAUUCAAGGCAGGCUUAUUUAGGUUAGUUUACGUGUCAACAACCCUCCAACUGUCACUUUCUUCUCACAGAACUCAUCUCUGUGCCGACUGCCUCUCCCAUGUUCAAAAACCCGAACACCACACUCCUUUUCACCUCACACACUCCCAUUCCACCUUCCCACAAAGGCGUUCAGGGUAUUCACAAAAUCCGGCAAAACGGAGAAGCCAGGUUUGUCUCAAGGGGUACCAAAGGAGAUUCCAACCAUUGAUAUUCCUCUCAGGUUUGUUGGAGAGAUUGCACAAGAUAUUACACAUGUUGGAUAGGAUAAAUAAAGCUUAUGUGGAUGAGAACCAUAAGCCAUGGUGGCCUCUGCUGCCUCACUCACUUUUGGUAAAAGUAACAGGUGAUGCUCGCUCUGCAGUAGAAAUAUGUCAACAAGUUGUAAUACUUGGGAUUAUCACGAAACAUUCUCUGAAUUAAGCAAGCAUGAAACUUCCCUGUCAGGGAACUAUAUUGCUUGACUAUCAUAUUCCUAUAUUGCGAUAUAUUUACAUGUUCAUCCUCUUAUGGUAUUGGUUUGAGAGACGCUUUGUGUACUUCUGCCACUGACAUACUAAAGUUGUCCAUUAUCACAUUCAUUCUUUUGUUUCUUUAGUGUGAUCUUCAUCCAAGAUUAUUAAUUUGGUAUUUCCAGGAAGUUUUUGAACCAAAUUAAACAUCAAACUGCUAUCUUUUUGCAAAAUUACACUGCCUGUUUUGAAAGCUGGAUUCCCGAAGAACAAAGAAUAUAUGCAAACGCACAAUACUUUAACAAGGUAUGUCACACAACUAACUCAACUCUACUGCUGCUACACGCUCUACUCCCUCCAUUACACACUUCUAUUUUAACUAGAAAGCCAUCGUUAAUAGCCUCUCCAGGUAUUUUGUCAACCACGCAUCACACAGCUACAACGUUAACUGCGAAGAACAAGAUGACUGCCAGCGGCAUAGUCGGUGGUUGUGUUACUAUAUUGCCUUUUGCCGCUACCGGCUUCUAUCAAUAUAUAAGUAAUGUGUGUUUGCAUAGACAUGCCAUCAUCAAUGUGUAUAUAAACAUUAUGCUUUGGUUGUGCAAUACCUUCUUCUGUCAAACUGUUAAUAAUGUGUAUGUUUAUAUAUAUAUAUAUAUAUAUAUAUAUAUAUAUAUAUAUAUAUAUAUAUAUAUAUAUAUAUAUAUAAACAUAAACCGUUUAAACGAUAUGCUUCAAUUGCCCCGUACAUAUGUCACCAUAACUUUUACAUCAGAUGUGUGUUUAUAUAGGUAACUAUCGGGCCCGUGCGUGCACGGGCAAAAACCAUCUAGUAAUAUAGUAGAAAAAUGAGUUGAAACUUGUAUAUUCGAUUGAACCUGCUCGUUACACUAUCAAUCUGCGCCCCUGGUCACUGCAAUGACUAUUAACGUCAAAAUACUAAUAGCAAGGUGCCACCUUAACUAUAUAUGAAGUGGAUAAAUCAAUUAUUAUAAUUAAAAAAUCCUUAUGAUCUUUCAUAUAUCAAGUGGAUAAAUCAAUUAUAAUUAAAAUCCAUAUGAUAUUUCUAGUAAGGAAAUCCCCAAUUAAAGAUUUCUUCAGAGCUUAAUUACACGUUGCCUUAUAAAACGUAGUACUUCCCUUGAAAUUGCUUUGCCGUUAUGGUAACAAUUUGUAACCAAUUAUACAUUGUUUCUUCUUGUUUUUCUUCUUCUUCUAGUACACCAUUCUAAGUAAUACUUUUUGAAAAUUUCCAAAUUAAUUACAAAUGAAGAUGGAGAAUAAUGAAAAAAGAGAGAACAGGCCUUGCCAUUAUGCCUUCAAGUUCAUAUGCAGAGCUACACUCACUUUACUUUCUGGGACAAUCACAGGUUUAUUGAUUAAGUUUUUUAUUAAGAUUUUUUCACAUGUGAAAACAGGCCAUUUAGAGAACAUUGACAAAAUAAACAUAGUUUUAGGCUUGUUAUUUUUUGUUGUUUGUGUAAUUCUAACAGCUUCUUUGAUAGUUUUUACGUUAAUUGAUUUGAAAAACAUGUUUAGAGCACUUUGGGGUUGGAUUAAGGAACCAGGAUCUUCUGUUUUUACAACUUUAUCGGAGUCUGAGGAGAUUCAACGAAGAAAUGUUAUCGAGGAAGUUUUGUAAUAUUUUCAGAAGAUUGAACAUUGGCUAUAACGUUAUCAUCUUAAUUACCUUACUUUUAUUUAUUUUAGAUCAUGAAUGAAAUAUUGUCCUAUUGCAUUCCCUAUUAUAAAGAAAUCAACCUUGUUAUUUGGUA